RNAcentral lists this transfer RNA (72 nucleotides) under Cavia porcellus (domestic guinea pig). It matches the Rfam family "tRNA". From Rfam's summary of the family: Transfer RNA (tRNA) molecules are approximately 80 nucleotides in length. Lineage: Eukaryota; Metazoa; Chordata; Mammalia; Rodentia; Caviidae. The record is from Rfam by way of RNAcentral.
AGAGAUAUAGUUUAGUGGUAGAGCUCUUGCCUAGCAUGUGCAAGAACCUGGGUUCAAUCCCCAGUACCGCAA